Molecule: long non-coding RNA, 331 nt
Organism: Gasterosteus aculeatus aculeatus (three-spined stickleback)
Lineage: Eukaryota; Metazoa; Chordata; Actinopteri; Perciformes; Gasterosteidae
Source: Ensembl
CUCGGAUGCAUUUUUUUUUAUUACAUUUUCAAAAUGCAAAAAUCUAAAACCUCUGAAUUGGACCUGCUUCAAUAACGAACGGUUAGUGGAUGAAUGCGUCGUGUCUGCGUGGACAGAACACACGCGGGCGGACUGCUGCAGCGGAAUGUGUUUGCUAUUAGGGAUCCAACUGUGGACGUGCAGAGAAAAGGCAGAAUGAUCUCCAGCAGGUACCACGCGCCAUCUACUGGAGCCCGAAGCGGCUCCAUCCUUCAACAAGCUGCUGCAGCACAAAGCUGCGUUUCACAUAUACGGUGAAUUUAAACCAUAUGGAAGACCUACAUGUUUCGAG